AUGGCGCAGGCGGUGGUGCCGGCGAUGCAGUGCCAGGUGGGCGUGCGGGGCAGGUCGGCCGUCCCGGCGAGGCAGCCCGCGGGCAGGGUGUGGGGCGUCAGGAGGACCGCCCGCGCCGCCUCCGGCUUCAAGGUGCUCGCCCUCGGCCCGGAGACCACCGGCGUCAUCCAGAGGAUGCAGCAGCUGCUCGACAUGGACACCACGCCCUUCACCGACAAGAUCAUCGCCGAGUACAUCUGGGUUGGAGGAUCUGGAAUUGACCUCAGAAGCAAAUCAAGGACGAUUUCGAAGCCAGUGGAGGACCCGUCAGAGCUACCGAAAUGGAACUACGAUGGAUCGAGCACAGGCCAGGCUCCUGGAGAAGACAGUGAAGUCAUCCUAUACCCACAGGCCAUAUUCAAGGACCCAUUCCGAGGAGGCAACAACAUACUGGUUAUCUGUGACACCUACACACCACAAGGGGAACCCAUCCCUACUAACAAACGACACAUGGCUGCACAAAUCUUCAGUGACCCCAAGGUCACUUCACAAGUGCCAUGGUUUGGAAUCGAACAGGAGUACACUCUGAUGCAGAGGGAUGUGAACUGGCCUCUUGGCUGGCCUGUUGGAGGGUACCCUGGCCCCCAGGGUCCAUACUACUGCGCCGUAGGAUCAGACAAGUCAUUUGGCCGUGACAUUUCAGAUGCUCACUACAAGGCAUGCCUUUACGCCGGAAUUGAAAUCAGUGGAACAAACGGGGAGGUCAUGCCUGGUCAGGUUGGACCCAGCGUUGGUAUUGAUGCAGGAGAUCACAUAUGGGCUUCAAGAUACAUUCUCGAGAGAAUCACGGAGCAAGCUGGUGUCGUGCUCACCCUUGACCCAAAACCAAUCCAGGGUGACUGGAAUGGAGCUGGCUGCCACACAAAUUACAGCACAUUGAGCAUGCGUGAGGAUGGAGGUUUCGACGUGAUCAAGAAGGCAAUCCUGAACCUUUCACUCCGCCAUGACUUGCACAUAGCCGCAUAUGGUGAAGGAAACGAACGGAGGUUGACAGGGCUACAUGAGACAGCUAGCAUAUCAGACUUCUCAUGGGGUGUCGCGAAUCGUGGCUGCUCUAUUCGUGUGGGGCGAGAGACUGAGGCAAAGGGCAAAGGAUACCUGGAGGACCGUCGCCCGGCCUCGAACAUGGACCCAUACACCGUGACGGCGCUGCUGGCCGAGACCACGAUCCUGUGGGAGCCGACCCUCGAGGCAGAGGCCCUCGCUGCCAAGAAGCUGGCGCUGAAGGUAUGA
This 1272-nucleotide ribosomal RNA is filed under the name Triticum aestivum (bread wheat). RNAcentral's name for it is "partial small subunit ribosomal RNA". The record is from RNAcentral. Lineage: Eukaryota; Viridiplantae; Streptophyta; Magnoliopsida; Poales; Poaceae.